CGGACGGGUGAGUAACGCGUGGGUAACCUGCCUCAUACAGGGGGAUAACAGUUGGAAACGACUGCUAAUACCGCAUAAGCGCACAGUACCGCAUGGUACAGUGUGAAAAACUCAGGUGGUAUGAGAUGGACCCGCGUCUGAUUAGCUAGUUGGUGGGGUAACGGCCUACCAAGGCGACGAUCAGUAGCCGACCUGAGAGGGUGACCGGCCACAUUGGGACUGAGACACGGCCCAA
RNAcentral lists this ribosomal RNA (235 nucleotides) under uncultured bacterium. RNAcentral describes it as "partial 16S ribosomal RNA". It matches the Rfam family "Bacterial small subunit ribosomal RNA", at positions 99 to 334 of the family's 1533-position model. The record is from RNAcentral.